Molecule: ribosomal RNA, 236 nt
Filed under: uncultured bacterium
Lineage: Bacteria
Description: partial 16S ribosomal RNA
Rfam family: Bacterial small subunit ribosomal RNA
Source: RNAcentral
UGAGGAACAUGACCUUCGGCGGGGGGAGUAGCCGGCCCAACGGCCGGGUAAUACCGCGUACGACCAUUUGGGGACAUCCCUGAUUGGUGAAAGCAGCAAUGCGCCGAAAGAGUGUCACGCGGCCUAUCAGCUAGUUGGUGGGGUAAUGGCUCACCAAGGCAACGACGGGUAGCUGGUCUGAGAGGAUGGCCAGCCACAUUGGGACUGAGACACGGCCCAGACUCCUACGGGAGCAG